Molecule: long non-coding RNA, 461 nt
Filed under: Zostera marina
Lineage: Eukaryota; Viridiplantae; Streptophyta; Magnoliopsida; Alismatales; Zosteraceae
Description: long non-coding RNA (ZMAR_LNC000326)
Source: RNAcentral
ACGCAUUCUGUUGCUUCGGCCAGAAUCAGACUCUAAUAGUGAGUCGGCACUUCUGUUGCUUCGGCCAGAAGCUGUCACAUUUUUUGAGCAUGAUAGAUCUGUCGCUCCGGACAGAUCAAUCAAGGAUGAGGAGCAGCAUGAGAGGCAGCUCCGCACGGCAAGGUCAGUAAAUCAAUUAAUAUAUCAUUUAGACUGAUAUAGUUGUUUUGCAGGUUGUUUUUUGUUUUGCAGGCACGAUUCUGUUGCUUCGGCCAGAAUCCACGCAUUCUGUUGCUUCGGCCAGAAUCAAACCAAGAACUAUGUUGUCGCUUUGGCUUCAAUAGUUCUUCAAACAUUUGGAGAUCAUUUUUGUCAUGUGACCUUAAUGAUCUCGACCCAUCUUGCGCUUCGGCCUAUGGGGUAACCGUCGUUGCGGACAAAAAGUCGCCCUUGAUCAGGGUAGACUAUAAACAUCAGAUUCC